GAUGAAGAACGUAGCGAAAUGCGAUACUUGGUGUGAAUUGCAGAAUCCCGUGAACCAUCGAGUCUUUGAACGCAAGUUGCGCCUCAAGCCAUUAGGUUGAGGGCACGUCUGCCUGGGCGUCACAUAUCGUUGCCUGAUGCCAGUUUCCUCGUGAUGGGUGACUGUGCAGGGCGAAUGAUGGCUUCCCGUGAGCAUUGUUGCCUCAUGGUUGGUUGAAAAUUGAGUCCUUGGUAGGGAGCGCCGUGAUAGAUGGUGGUUGAGUGACGAACGAGACCCAAUCAUGUGAGACCCCUACCGAAUUUGGCCUUCAUGACCCACAUGCGUCUUUCACGCUCAUGAUGAGACCUCAGGUCAGGCGGGGCUACCCGCUGAAUUUAAGCAUAUCAAUAAGCGGAGGA
RNAcentral lists this unclassified non-coding RNA (398 nucleotides) under soil metagenome. RNAcentral's name for it is "partial contains 5.8S ribosomal RNA, internal transcribed spacer 2, and large subunit ribosomal RNA". The stretch from base 1 to 122 matches the Rfam family "5.8S ribosomal RNA", at positions 35 to 154 of the family's 154-position model. The record is from RNAcentral.